GAUCAUGUCCAUUUCUAUCUAUUACAUAAGCAUGACUUCUUCACUCUAUCCGAACUCCCGCACUAUAUCCUGUACCUGUAAGCCUGGGGGAAAAGGGAGAGGGGUGAGCUAAAAGCCCAGUGAGUAGAGCUAGUAAAAACACAUUAACACUAUGCUCAAAUGGAAUGCAUCAUAACACAGACAAUUCACAUAAGGGUUGGGUGAACUUGUCACCAAAUAGUCCAAGUUAACUCUGUGCCAGGCCGUAGCAUGGGGUCCUGGUCUUCCUGUCAUACAUACAUUACUUACCAUUUUCCAG
This 298-nucleotide long non-coding RNA is filed under the name Manihot esculenta (cassava). RNAcentral's name for it is "long non-coding RNA (MESC_LNC005842)". Lineage: Eukaryota; Viridiplantae; Streptophyta; Magnoliopsida; Malpighiales; Euphorbiaceae. The record is from RNAcentral.